AGCGAACGCUGGCGGCGUGCCUAACACAUGCAAGUCGAACGUGAAAAGGGAAACCUGAGUAAAGUGGCGUACGGGUGAGUAACGCGUAGGUAAUCUACCCCAGAAUCUGGAAUAACCUGCCGAAAGGCGGGCUAAUACUGGAUAGAGCGAGGGAACUCGUAAGAGAGUUUUUCGGGAAAGGGAGCCCGCAAGGGCCUUCGUUCUGGGAUGAGCCUGCGUCUCAUUAGCUAGUUGGUAAGGUAACGGCUUACCAAGGCGAUGAUGAGUAGCUGGUCUGAGAGGAUGAUCAGCCACACUGGAACUGAAACACGGUCCAGACUCCUACGGGAGGCAGCAGUGGGGAAUCUUGCGCAAUGGACGAAAGUCUGACGCAGCCACGCCGCGUGAGUGAAGAAGGCCUUCGGGUUGUAAAGCUCUGUCGGAUGGGACGAACAUCUUCAUAGUGAAUAGCUAUGAUGACUGACGGUACCAUCAAAGGAAGCACCGGCUAACUCCGUG
Molecule: ribosomal RNA, 498 nt
Filed under: uncultured bacterium
Lineage: Bacteria
Description: partial 16S ribosomal RNA
Rfam family: Bacterial small subunit ribosomal RNA
Source: RNAcentral